GGGUUGUGAGGUUAAGCGACUAAGCGUACACGGUGGAUGCCCUGGCAGUCAGAGGCGAUGAAGGACGUGCUAAUCUGCGAUAAGCGUCGGUAAGGUGAUAUGAACCGUUAUAACCGGCGAUUUCCGAAUGGGGAAACCCAGUGUGUUUCGACACACUAUCAUUAACUGAAUCCAUAGGUUAAUGAGGCGAACCGGGGGAACUGAAACAUCUAAGUACCCCGAGGAAAAGAAAUCAACCGAGAUUCCCCCAGUAGCGGCGAGCGAACGGGGAGCAGCCCAGAGCCUGAAUCAGUGUGUGUGUUAGUGGAAGCGUCUGGAAAGGCGCGCGAUACAGGGUGACAGCCCCGUACACAAAAAUGCACAUACUGUGAGCUCGAUGAGUAGGGCGGGACACGUGGUAUCCUGUCUGAAUAUGGGGGGACCAUCCUCCAAGGCUAAAUACUCCUGACUGACCGAUAGUGAACCAGUACCGUGAGGGAAAGGCGAAAAGAACCCCGGCGAGGGGAGUGAAAAAGAACCUGAAACCGUGUACGUACAAGCAGUGGGAGCCUCUUUUAUGGGGUGACUGCGUACCUUUUGUAUAAUGGGUCAGCGACUUAUAUUCUGUAGCAAGGUUAACCGAAUAGGGGAGCCGAAGGGAAACCGAGUCUUAACUGGGCGUUAAGUUGCAGGGUAUAGACCCGAAACCCGGUGAUCUAGCCAUGGGCAGGUUGAAGGUUGGGUAACACUAACUGGAGGACCGAACCGACUAAUGUUGAAAAAUUAGCGGAUGACUUGUGGCUGGGGGUGAAAGGCCAAUCAAACCGGGAGAUAGCUGGUUCUCCCCGAAAGCUAUUUAGGUAGCGCCUCGUGAAUUCAUCUCCGGGGGUAGAGCACUGUUUCGGCAAGGGGGUCAUCCCGACUUACCAACCCGAUGCAAACUGCGAAUACCGGAGAAUGUUAUCACGGGAGACACACGGCGGGUGCUAACGUCCGUCGUGAAGAGGGAAACAACCCAGACCGCCAGCUAAGGUCCCAAAGUCAUGGUUAAGUGGGAAACGAUGUGGGAAGGCCCAGACAGCCAGGAUGUUGGCUUAGAAGCAGCCAUCAUUUAAAGAAAGCGUAAUAGCUCACUGGUCGAGUCGGCCUGCGCGGAAGAUGUAACGGGGCUAAACCAUGCACCGAAGCUGCGGCAGCGACACUAUGUGUUGUUGGGUAGGGGAGCGUUCUGUAAGCCUGUGAAGGUGUGCUGUGAGGCAUGCUGGAGGUAUCAGAAGUGCGAAUGCUGACAUAAGUAACGAUAAAGCGGGUGAAAAGCCCGCUCGCCGGAAGACCAAGGGUUCCUGUCCAACGUUAAUCGGGGCAGGGUGAGUCGACCCCUAAGGCGAGGCCGAAAGGCGUAGUCGAUGGGAAACAGGUUAAUAUUCCUGUACUUGGUGUUACUGCGAAGGGGGGACGGAGAAGGCUAUGUUGGCCGGGCGACGGUUGUCCCGGUUUAAGCGUGUAGGCUGGUUUUCCAGGCAAAUCCGGAAAAUCAAGGCUGAGGCGUGAUGACGAGGCACUACGGUGCUGAAGCAACAAAUGCCCUGCUUCCAGGAAAAGCCUCUAAGCAUCAGGUAACAUCAAAUCGUACCCCAAACCGACACAGGUGGUCAGGUAGAGAAUACCAAGGCGCUUGAGAGAACUCGGGUGAAGGAACUAGGCAAAAUGGUGCCGUAACUUCGGGAGAAGGCACGCUGAUAUGUAGGUGAAGUCCCUCGCGGAUGGAGCUGAAAUCAGUCGAAGAUACCAGCUGGCUGCAACUGUUUAUUAAAAACACAGCACUGUGCAAACACGAAAGUGGACGUAUACGGUGUGACGCCUGCCCGGUGCCGGAAGGUUAAUUGAUGGGGUUAGCGGUAACGCGAAGCUCUUGAUCGAAGCCCCGGUAAACGGCGGCCGUAACUAUAACGGUCCUAAGGUAGCGAAAUUCCUUGUCGGGUAAGUUCCGACCUGCACGAAUGGCGUAAUGAUGGCCAGGCUGUCUCCACCCGAGACUCAGUGAAAUUGAACUCGCUGUGAAGAUGCAGUGUACCCGCGGCAAGACGGAAAGACCCCGUGAACCUUUACUAUAGCUUGACACUGAACAUUGAGCCUUGAUGUGUAGGAUAGGUGGGAGGCUUUGAAGUGUGGACGCCAGUCUGCAUGGAGCCGACCUUGAAAUACCACCCUUUAAUGUUUGAUGUUCUAACGUUGACCCGUGAUCCGGGUUGCGGACAGUGUCUGGUGGGUAGUUUGACUGGGGCGGUCUCCUCCUAAAGAGUAACGGAGGAGCACGAAGGUUGGCUAAUCCUGGUCGGACAUCAGGAGGUUAGUGCAAUGGCAUAAGCCAGCUUGACUGCGAGCGUGACGGCGCGAGCAGGUGCGAAAGCAGGUCAUAGUGAUCCGGUGGUUCUGAAUGGAAGGGCCAUCGCUCAACGGAUAAAAGGUACUCCGGGGAUAACAGGCUGAUACCGCCCAAGAGUUCAUAUCGACGGCGGUGUUUGGCACCUCGAUGUCGGCUCAUCACAUCCUGGGGCUGAAGUAGGUCCCAAGGGUAUGGCUGUUCGCCAUUUAAAGUGGUACGCGAGCUGGGUUUAGAACGUCGUGAGACAGUUCGGUCCCUAUCUGCCGUGGGCGCUGGAGAACUGAGGGGGGCUGCUCCUAGUACGAGAGGACCGGAGUGGACGCAUCACUGGUGUUCGGGUUGUCAUGCCAAUGGCACUGCCCGGUAGCUAAAUGCGGAAGAGAUAAGUGCUGAAAGCAUCUAAGCACGAAACUUGCCCCGAGAUGAGUUCUCCCUGACUCCUUGAGAGUCCUGAAGGAACGUUGAAGACGACGACGUUGAUAGGCCGGGUGUGUAAGCGCAGCGAUGCGUUGAGCUAACCGGUACUAAUGAACCGUGAGGCUUAACCUUACAACGCCGAAGGUGUUU
This 2932-nucleotide ribosomal RNA is filed under the name Escherichia coli. RNAcentral describes it as "bacterial LSU rRNA". It matches the Rfam family "Bacterial large subunit ribosomal RNA". Lineage: Bacteria; Pseudomonadati; Pseudomonadota; Gammaproteobacteria; Enterobacterales; Enterobacteriaceae. The record is from RNAcentral.